CAGUAGCCGCGGUAAUACGAACCGUGCGAACGUUAUUCGGAAUUACUGGGCUUAAAGCGCGUGUAGGCGGGUCGGCACGUCGGUCGCUGAAAUCCCCCGGCUCAACCGGGGAAGUGGCGCCGAUACGGCCGGCCUGGAGGGGGGUAGGGGGGCCUGGAACUUCCGGUGGAGCGGUGAAAUGCGUUGAGAUCGGAAGGAACGCCCGUGGCGAAAGCGAGGCCCUGGACCCUUUCUGACGCUGAGACGCGAAAGCCAGGGGGGCGAACGGGAUUAGAUACCCCUGUAGUCCCUGUCUCUUAUA
This 301-nucleotide ribosomal RNA is filed under the name uncultured bacterium. Its description in RNAcentral is "partial 16S ribosomal RNA". It matches the Rfam family "Bacterial small subunit ribosomal RNA", at positions 509 to 807 of the family's 1533-position model. The record is from RNAcentral.